GUCCACGCUGUAAACGGUGAGUGCUCGUCGUCGUGGGUAUUGACCCCUGCGGUGACCAAGUUAACACAUGAAGCACUCCGCCUGGGAAGUACGGUCGCAAGACUAAAACUCAAAGAAAUUGACGGGGGCCCCGCACAAGCGGUGGAGCAUGUUGUUUAAUUCGAAGCAACGCGCAGAACCUUACCUGGAUUUGACAUCUCCGGAAUCUCCCUGAAAGGGGAGAGUGCCUUCGGGAACCGGAAGACAGGUGCUGCAUGGCUGUCGU
Molecule: ribosomal RNA, 265 nt
Filed under: uncultured bacterium
Lineage: Bacteria
Description: partial 16S ribosomal RNA
Rfam family: Bacterial small subunit ribosomal RNA
Source: RNAcentral